This 366-nucleotide ribosomal RNA is filed under the name Triticum aestivum (bread wheat). Its description in RNAcentral is "partial small subunit ribosomal RNA". Lineage: Eukaryota; Viridiplantae; Streptophyta; Magnoliopsida; Poales; Poaceae. The record is from RNAcentral.
AUGUAUUCCCUCGCCUCCUUGAUCAACCUCGCCGCCUUGAUCUCCGAAGCCUGCCGCGACGCGGAGAUGCUGCCGGGUGCGCUCAUCUCCUGCGGCGUCCUCGAAGCAGCCGCAGCCCUCUGCCUCGUCAUCUCCAGAGCGCCGGGAGGUAUAUUUCUCCACCAUGGCAGAGCACCCUUCUUCCUGUACUACGGCAUCCUCGUCGCAGUGGUGAUCUUCGGGCUCCUCGAGGCGUCGGCCGGCUUCUGGGUGUCAGGCGAUGUGGUCGGACGGCGUGCCGUCGGGAAGACGGUCCUCUGGCUGGGCCUCCUGCCCAUCGUCUUCGUGGCUGCGCUUGGAGGCUCUGUCAUUCUCAACAAGAAAUAG